RNAcentral lists this transfer RNA (76 nucleotides) under Actinokineospora sp. UTMC 2448. RNAcentral describes it as "tRNA-Arg". Lineage: Bacteria; Bacillati; Actinomycetota; Actinomycetes; Pseudonocardiales; Pseudonocardiaceae. The record is from RNAcentral.
GUUCGUCCAGGCGCUCGGGCGGGCGGUCGUCGCCCGCGGCGCGACGAUCCGGCUGUUCGAGGCGGCGGGCGUGCGC